AGUGAACGCUGGCGGUAGGCCUAACACAUGCAAGUCGAACGGCAGCACAGUAAGAGCUUGCUCUUACGGGUGGCGAGUGGCGGACGGGUGAGGAAUACAUCGGAAUCUACUUUUUCGUGGGGGAUAACGUAGGGAAACUUACGCUAAUACCGCAUACGACCUACGGGUGAAAGCAGGGGAUCUUCGGACCUUGCGCGAUUGAAUGAGCCGAUGUCGGAUUAGCUAGUUGGCGGGGUAAAGGCCCACCAAGGCGACGAUCCGUAGCUGGUCUGAGAGGAGGAUCAGCCAACCGGGAACUGAGACACGGCCCAGACCCCUACGGGAGGCAGCAGUGGGGAAUAUUGGACAAUGGGCGCAAGCCUGAUCCAGCCAUACCGCGUGGGUGAAGAAGGCCUUCGGGUUGUAAAGCCCUUUUGUUGGGAAAGAAAAGCAGCAGGUUAAUACCCCGCUGUUCUGACGGUACCCAAAGAAUAAGCACCGGCUAACUUCGU
Molecule: ribosomal RNA, 491 nt
Filed under: uncultured bacterium
Lineage: Bacteria
Description: partial 16S ribosomal RNA
Rfam family: Bacterial small subunit ribosomal RNA
Source: RNAcentral